This 33-nucleotide ribosomal RNA is filed under the name Dendrobium hybrid cultivar. RNAcentral's name for it is "partial 26S ribosomal RNA". Lineage: Eukaryota; Viridiplantae; Streptophyta; Magnoliopsida; Asparagales; Orchidaceae. The record is from RNAcentral.
CGCCGAGUUUAAGCAUAUCAAUAAGCGGAGGAG